This 334-nucleotide unclassified non-coding RNA is filed under the name soil metagenome. Its description in RNAcentral is "partial contains 5.8S ribosomal RNA, internal transcribed spacer 2, and large subunit ribosomal RNA". The stretch from base 1 to 120 matches the Rfam family "5.8S ribosomal RNA", at positions 35 to 154 of the family's 154-position model. The record is from RNAcentral.
GAUGAAGAACGUAGCGAAAUGUGAUAAGUAAUGUGAAUUGCAGAAUUCAGUGAAUCAUCGAAUCUUUGAACGCACAUUGCGCCCGCCAGUAUUCUGGCGAGCAUGCCUGUUCGAGCGUCAUUUCAACCAUCAAGCCCCAGGCUUGUGUUGGAGCCCUGCGGCUGCCGCAGCCUCCCAAAACCAGUGGCGGGCUCGCUAUCACACCGAGUGCAGUAGUUUACUCUUCGCUCAGGGCGUGUGGCGGGUGCUAGCCGUGAAACCCCCAACUUCUCAAGGUUGACCUCGGAUCAGGCAGGAAUACCCGCUGAACUUAAGCAUAUCAAUAAGCGGAGGA